AAAUGUAGUAGACUAUAAGUAUACAUGAAAAUGCAGGGAGUAUACUAAGUACACUAUGUUUA
MicroRNA precursor from Gadus morhua (Atlantic cod), 62 nucleotides. NCBI's taxonomy places the organism in Eukaryota, Metazoa, Chordata, Actinopteri, Gadiformes, Gadidae. The record is from Ensembl.